CUGGCGGCAGGCCUAACACAUGCAAGUCGAGCGCUCACUUCGGUGGGAGCGGCGGACGGGUUAGUAACGCGUGGGAAUAUGCCCGGUACUAAGGAAUAGCCUUUGGAAACGAAGAGUAAUACCUUAUACGCCCUUCGGGGGAAAGAUUUAUCGGUAUCGGAUUAGCCCGCGUAAGAUUAGAUAGUUGGUGGGGUAAUGGCCUACCAAGUCUACGAUCUUUAGCUGGUUUUAGAGGAUGAUCAGCAACACUGGGACUGAGACACGGCCCAGACUCCUACGGGAGGCAGCAGUGGGGAAUCUUAGACAAUGGGCGCAAGCCUGAUCUAGCCAUGCCGCGUGAGUGAAGAAGGCCUUAGGGUCGUAAAACUCUUUCGCCAGAGAUGAUAAUGACAGUAUCUGGUAAAGAAACCCCGGCUAACUCCGUGCCAGCAGCCGCGGUAAUACAGAGGGGGUUAGCGUUGUUCGGAAUUACUGGGCGUAAAGCGCACGUAGGCGGACUGGAAAGUUGGGGGUGAAAUCCCGGGGCUCAACCUCGGAACUGCCUCCAAAACUAUCAGUCUAGAGUUCGAGAGAGGUGAGUGGAAUUCCAAGUGUAGAGGUGAAAUUCGUAGAUAUUUGGAGGAACACCAGUGGCGAAGGCGGCUCACUGGCUCGAUACUGACGCUGAGGUGCGAAAGUGUGGGGAGCAAA
RNAcentral lists this ribosomal RNA (690 nucleotides) under uncultured marine bacterium. Its description in RNAcentral is "bacterial SSU rRNA". It matches the Rfam family "Bacterial small subunit ribosomal RNA", at positions 36 to 772 of the family's 1533-position model. The record is from RNAcentral.